RNAcentral lists this ribosomal RNA (212 nucleotides) under uncultured Bacillus sp. RNAcentral describes it as "partial 16S ribosomal RNA". It matches the Rfam family "Bacterial small subunit ribosomal RNA", at positions 1171 to 1382 of the family's 1533-position model. Lineage: Bacteria; Bacillati; Bacillota; Bacilli; Caryophanales; Bacillaceae. The record is from RNAcentral.
AAGUGGGGAUGACGUCAAAUCAUCAUGCCCCUUAUGUUCUGGGCUACACACGUGCUACAAUGGCCGGUACAGACGGACGCAAAGCCGCGAGGUGGAGCAAAUCCUAAAAAGCCGGUCUCAGUUCGGAUUGCAGGCUGCAAUUCGCCUGCAUGAAGUCGGAAUCGCUAGUAAUCGCAGGUCAGCAUACCGCGGUGAAUACGUUCCCGGGCCUU